RNAcentral lists this ribosomal RNA (253 nucleotides) under uncultured bacterium. Its description in RNAcentral is "partial 16S ribosomal RNA". It matches the Rfam family "Bacterial small subunit ribosomal RNA", at positions 524 to 776 of the family's 1533-position model. The record is from RNAcentral.
UACGUAGGGUGCGAGCGUUGUCCGGAAUUAUUGGGCGUAAAGAGCUUGUAGGCGGUUUGUCGCGUCUGCCGUGAAAAUCCGGGGCUCAACCCCGGACUUGCGGUGGGUACGGGCAGACUAGAGUGUGGUAGGGGAGACUGGAAUUCCUGGUGUAGCGGUGAAAUGCGCAGAUAUCAGGAGGAACACCGGUGGCGAAGGCGGGUCUCUGGGCCGUAACUGACGCUGAGGAGCGAAAGCGUGGGGAGCAAACAGG